GAAUUUGGUUGAACCAACGAGAACUGCUAAUUACUCUUUAUUGUGGUUUGAUUCCACAACAAAUUCG
RNAcentral lists this transfer RNA (67 nucleotides) under Scutiger ningshanensis (Ningshan alpine toad). RNAcentral describes it as "tRNA-Ser". Lineage: Eukaryota; Metazoa; Chordata; Amphibia; Anura; Megophryidae. The record is from RNAcentral.